GGCACUUGGAGUCCGGACAUCUGAAACUUGAUCUAGAGAACACAUGCAAUUUUGUUACAUGGGAAUACUGUGUUGUGCUGAGGUCUGGAGUAUGGAUCCCUUCACCCAGAAUUGACAAGCCGACAUCAGUCUCCAGAGUGAAUCCAAGGAGUGGACCCAAGACAUUUGUGUUCUGUGAUGUGGUGGCAUGUUACCUGUCAUCUCCGAUGCAUAACUCCUAAAGUGCGUCUGGGGCAGUUGUACAGAUUGCAGAGGAUAAUACUCAAGAUGUUCUCCAAGGCCAACUAGUCAUCAGUUUAUUCAUGUUUCUGGGAUUGGAUUCAUGAACUCAUCCUUUGAACUAUUUCAACAAGCUUUUUCAUGUAACUAAUCUGCGGAAGAGCUCCCAAGAUGGUGGUGGGCCACUUCCAAGAUGGUGGCAAGAGUCGUAUUCUCUGACCUGGGGUUCUUGGUCUCAUGGAUUCCAAGGAAUGGAAUCUUGCGCCAUGUGGAGAAGCGUCAGAUAAUUAGGCAGCAGUCCAACAAUUAGGUUUUGUGGAACUUUUACUAUGUCAUCUAUUUAUUGGAAUUCCCCCUGGAUACCAGGACCCCCUCCAGCAGAGCUUAAAGUUAUAGUUACAGGAAGUACAAAUUCCUUAUGUGGAUCCCUGGAAGUGUGAUGAGAAGAACCACUGUUUCCAAGAUCUAUUUAUUCUAUUUAUCAGGCCUAUAAAAUCAUGUAAUGGCCAUGGCUUCAACUAGACUCCACAUCUUGAAUCACAGAACUCAACGAAUGGCAUCAACUACAAGCUGGUAUUCUGCUAUACAUUUAAGAGGCCAUUUUAAUAUUCUAUUAGUCUAGCAGCUUCUAAGUGAUGAGGGAUAUGGGGGGACUGGAGGAUCCCGUGCUCACUUCCUUUUCUGUAAAAGGAGCUCUUUGAUCCAAGGUGACAUGGUAUGGGAUCCAAUGACAAUAAAUCAGUUAUUCUGUGAACCCUGAUCAAAACUUGACUAAACUUUUGACAGUUAGGUUUUUUCCUGACCACAGACUCCUCACCUUUCUUUUCUUAGAAAAUUUACAUUGGAAAACAGAUGUAAAUUUUCUCCAGCCUCUUGCAAGGUUUACAGUCCAGGACUUUGAGGUCCUGGGAGUCAUCCUUUUGAAAUACAAUCAUCAAAGAAGAUAGUGCUCCAAUCUCCUAGUCUCUGUGGGAGGGUUGGAACCUAACUUCAGUAAACUAAUCACCAAUUAGCAAACACAGAGGGGCUGAUCAUACUGACCCACUUUCCCACUAAAAUGUCUAGUACUUUCCACCAGCUCACCACAGUGCUUAAAAACUCUCCUGUCUUUUGUUUUACUAGAGUUGAGUCCAAUCUCUUUCAUCUAUUGCAAUAGUGUUGAAUAAAGUCUUCCUUGCCUAA
Molecule: long non-coding RNA, 1401 nt
Organism: Homo sapiens (human)
Lineage: Eukaryota; Metazoa; Chordata; Mammalia; Primates; Hominidae
Product: long intergenic non-protein coding RNA 1320
Source: Ensembl